This is a non-coding RNA of Pelobates cultripes (western spadefoot toad), 2068 nucleotides long. The record is from the annotation of a GenBank genome assembly. NCBI's taxonomy places the organism in Eukaryota, Metazoa, Chordata, Amphibia, Anura, Pelobatidae.
UCCAGUACCAAGCAAGCUCCACGGGCUGACUUUAACCCCUUAAGGACACAUUACAUGUGUGACAUGUCAUGAUUCCCUUUUAUUCCAGAAGUUUGGUCCUUAAGGGGUUAAAGACAAUUUCAGCCAGUGCCUUAUGUGGUCCAAUCAAAGACUUCUCAUAGACAAGCUUUAAUUGAACCGUUUUGCCAUCUCAGGGUGCAUGCGUGCUAUCUGAGCAAGGAAGGGGCGGUAACGGUUAGAUUAUAAAAAAUAAAAAAUAUAUAUACUAAUGAGAGGAUAAAGAGGCAGGGAGGGCAAGUGCUUUCCCUUGCGGGCUCUGUAUAAUCUUUAUGCUACAUUAAUUUUAGGAAAGAAGAAAGGGUGAGAAUAUGAAGGCUUGGUUUUGUAAAGUUUAUCAGGGUUAUUAACUAAAGUGGUAAUUCGAAGUAAAUUUCACAUUUAAGGCCAAAGUAGCUGACGUGCUAAAAUAUAGAAUUUUCCAAUUUGGCUAUAUUUACCUUAAUUUUUAAAUUAACUUUGAAAUCUCACUUUAGUGAGUAACCCUGGAUAAUCUGUAAAACUUCUGAAUUUAAACUAAUUUAUUUUGCUUUGAUACAGAACAUGAAUCAAGUAUCAUUAAGCGCAGGGGUGGGCAAUCUUUGGCCCCUUCAGAUGUUAUGGACUACAUCUCCCAUGAUGCUUUGCUAGCAUUAUGGCCCUAAGAGCAUUAUGGGAGAUGUAGUCCAAAACAUCUGGAGGGCCGCAGAUUGCCCACCCCUGACAUAGCGUGUAUUGGUAUCAUCAAUCACCAUUCCAAAACUACCUUUUAAAUGAUUGUAUACCAUGUACCCCAAGUAGGCCUUUAAAAGUAAAAGCGUGUCUAUAGUUAAAUAUAAGGUUUUAACACCAAAUUCCAAUAUAUUCUCAUAUAUUCCUGUACUGGACUAGUUUGACUGAGGAAACUAUGACAUAAUAAACAUAGCAAGCUAAUGCAAAAAAGUCCUCUAUUCCAAUAAAUGACACCAGCUAAAUGUGGCACUAUCAACAGAAUAGUAAGUAAGGCCAGACUUGAUCUACAUACAAAAUAGUAGAGAUAGCAAAAUAUGUGUAUUUGUUCUUUAAUGUUUAAAUUGUAGCCCAAAAGCUGCAAUCCACUCCCCCAUUACUGAUUAGAUGAAUAAUCCUAAUUAUCAUCCUAUUACUCAAAUAGCUCAUUUGCUGGCAGGUUUUAGGAAGUGUAAGAAAAUAUAUAUGCUCUAGAUUCCGUACACAGAUUGUGAAGAAGAAAAAAAAUCGCAAAAUAAAAAAGAAUGUAAAUGAGUUGCAAAUAUUCUCCGUCUCAGCAAUAUUAUGCUAUGCUGUUUUACCGUUUGCACAAUAAAAUCUCCGUUCCCCAAAAAUCACUGAGCAAACCCCUGCAUUAUACAAGGUAUCAAUGUAAGAAGUCUGGGCUUGUUUUAACAUAACUUAUCUUUGGGAAGAACUUUCAAAGCCUCAUCAGCAGACCUCGGACGUUUCUUUAAACCCUGCUAGCGCCUGGCCACUUAGAAGAAAUCGAAAGUAAAUCUAAACAGGAUUAUUCGAUGGAAUGUCCAUAGUUACAUUAAUGUGGUUUUACAGCUCCCCCUCUCCCCAUACUUACAGACACAGCUGUAUGUCAGGCACUAGGUAGUAAACAAACACUAAUGUCGUAGUCAGAGCCUCUCUUGGAUACAGAGGGUUCUAAACCUGAGUUCUUUCCUUCGUGUAGAAAGUUGAAAGCUUCAGUGUUGGCGACCUUUCUGCACGAUAUGUCAAACACAGCUCUCCAGGAUGCAGUGGGCGUAGCAAGGCGUCUCGUUUGUUUGGGUGUCUGGGAAGUCGCAGCUAGGCAUUGAAGUUCCCCUAUGUUUUCUGAGGGUGAUCAUUCAAGUGAAUGCGAAGCUCUGUGUAAGCUGCAACACGCUGUCAUGUGCUCUUUUCUCACAGUUCCUUAAUAACGUGGAUAUUGUGCAAUGCAAAUUGUGUGGAUAACUAAAUAUUUUGUUUCAGUGCCGCAAACAGAACUUCGCUGGGGAAGUGUUAGAUAAAUUAUGGUUUGGUACUUUCC